CUACGGGAGGCAGCAGUGAGGAAUAUUGGUCAAUGGGCGCGAGCCUGAACCAGCCAUCCCGCGUGCAGGAUGACGGCCCUAUGGGUUGUAAACUGCUUUUCUAUGCCAAGAAACCUGAUUACGUGUAAUCAGUUGCCGGUAGCAUAGGAAUAAGCAUCGGCUAACUCCGUGCCAGCAGCCGCGGUAAUACGGAGGAUGCAAGCGUUAUCCGGAUUCAUUGGGUUUAAAGGGUGCGCAGGUGGGCUUGUAAGUCAGUGGUGAAAUGCUGCCGCUUAACUGUAGAACUGCCAUUGAUACUGCGAGUCUUGAGUAUGGUUGAGGUAGGCUGAAUGUGUUGUGUAGCGGUGAAGUGCAUAGAUAUGACACAGAACGCCAAUUGCGAAGGCAGCUUACUAAGCCAUUACUGACGCUGAGGCACGAAAGCGUGGGGAGCGAACAGGAUUAGAUACCCCGGUAGUC
RNAcentral lists this ribosomal RNA (459 nucleotides) under uncultured bacterium. RNAcentral describes it as "partial 16S ribosomal RNA". It matches the Rfam family "Bacterial small subunit ribosomal RNA", at positions 339 to 795 of the family's 1533-position model. The record is from RNAcentral.